ACUCCUACGGGAGGCAGCAGUGGGGAAUAUUGCACAAUGGGCGCAAGCCUGAUGCAGCCAUGCCGCGUGUGUGAAGAAGGCCUUCGGGUUGUAAAGCACUUUUCAGUGCGAUGAGGAAGGUAGUGUAGUUAAUAGCUGCAUUAUUUGACGUUAGCGACAGAAGAAGCACCGGCUAACUCCGUGCCAGCAGCCGCGGUAAUACGGAGGGUGCGAGCGUUAAUCGGAAUUA
This 229-nucleotide ribosomal RNA is filed under the name uncultured bacterium. RNAcentral's name for it is "partial 16S ribosomal RNA". It matches the Rfam family "Bacterial small subunit ribosomal RNA", at positions 335 to 553 of the family's 1533-position model. The record is from RNAcentral.